UACGUAGGGUCCAAGCGUUGUCCGGAAUUAUUGGGCGUAAAGAGCUCGUAGGCGGUCCGCUAAGUCUGAUGUGAAAUCUCAGGGCUCAACCCUGAAAUCGCAUCCGAUACUGGCGGACUUGAGGCAGGUAGGGGAAGGUGGAAUUCCUGGUGUAGCGGUGAAAUGCGCAGAUAUCAGGAGGAACACCGGUGGCGAAGGCGGCCUUCUGGGCCUGUUCUGACGCUGAGGAGCGAAAGCGUGGGGAGCAAAC
Molecule: ribosomal RNA, 250 nt
Filed under: uncultured bacterium
Lineage: Bacteria
Description: partial 16S ribosomal RNA
Rfam family: Bacterial small subunit ribosomal RNA
Source: RNAcentral